UUGCCAUGGUUUUCUAAUUAAAAUUUCCAUGGUUGUAUGAGAAAUUUGCCAUGUGUGUAAAAAAAUAACAAAUUAUGAACAAAGAGCCAUGGCAAAAGUUAAUUUUGCAGUGGUAAGUAAUGUAAAUUUGCCAUGGCAAAAACAUGUUGCCAUGGUUAGUUGAGAAAAAAAUGUUUUCUUGGCAUGUAAGAACUUAGAAAAGAAUGUUGUCUAUCUUUAGGAUCUAAAAAUUGCCAUGAUGGUAAAAUUAGUAUAGAUUUGUUGCCAUGCUGCCAAAAUGAAGACCUGGAAAAGCAUGCUCCCAAGUAUAUCAAGAAUGUCAUUCCUCUGCAAUUUCAACAUUGUUUUGCCAAGGCAACUACUGUUGCAUGUUUUGCCAUAUUUUCAACUUGUUUUACCAUGAUGUCAACAAGAAUUAGCCAUGGGAACUACUAAAAUCUGAAGAGUAUAGGUUUUCAACAUGAUUAGUAGUAUACAGCUGCUGCUACAUACUGUCUAAUUAAAGCAGAUUCGUUCAUUAGCCACUUAUAAUCUAUCAUCCACCAAACUCUUCAGUGCAUCAAUAAUAGUGUGGUGAAAACUAAACAACAAUCCAGGUGCUUAUUGAUAGUAGUAUCUCAGUGUACACGACUAAUCAGGCAGACACACGCGCUAGUAGUUAAUCAUGGUUACUGCGUGAGCCGGACCUGCGCCGCGGUGGUGAGGUGCGGGAAGUCGUUGGCGAUGAGGGGCCUCAUGGCGUCCACGUACCUCAGGUCGGCCGCCUUCCGAACCAGAUCGACGAACUUGCCCUGCCCUGUUGCGAUCCCAACCUGCAUACCAAGCACCCACAAAAAGAUCACAUACAAAGUCAAUAAUGGCGCACUCAUUUCCCAGAUCAAUCAAUGGAGUAACUGGCCGGAGCAUCGAACCUGGAUGACGAGGAGGUUUGGAAUGCGAAGGACCCGUCAUACGUGACGCACCGCAGGGCCGCAACCUUCCGUGACGCCAUUAUUGAACGCGGCGAGGACGCCCGGCCGCACCGGAGGUGAGCAGCGUCGUCGAUGGGGACCUCCCCGGAGGCGGGAGCGGAGUCGCCCGGAGCAGAGCCAUCGACGGCUCACCUCGUUGGUGCGCGCGCGGGGCAGGGACUCACCACAGCCGGCAUGACCAGCGCUUCGAUGGGGACCUCCCCGGAGGCGGCGGCGCCUCGACCUCCCCGGCAGCCUCAGCGACCCGUGCACCGCGGAUCCCCGACGAACGCCAUCCCGCAGCACCGGCCACCGCCAAAUCCGCAGGUCAGGCCACCAACGCCACGGCCCGGCAACGCCAGGAUCUCGUCGAGAUCGAACCCAAGGGGCGCGGCCGUGGCUACCUUCUCCGGGAGAGCCCAGUCCCUACGCCGUGCGCAGGCGUGGAGAGAGAUGGGAGGGAGGUCAGGGAGGAGAUGGGAAGGAGGAGAAGGAAGUAGAGGCAGGUGGAGCGCGGGGCGGCUCACCGGCGGCUUGCCUCACGACCAGCUGCCGGAGGAGGCGGCUGGAGAUGGGAGAGGAGUAGGUGAGUUGGGGGUGGGGGAUUGAGCGAGUGGAGGAGGUGGAUGAUAGGACUGGGUUCACGUUCGCGUCGACUGUUUGUUUCACCGAACGAGCUUCC
This 1632-nucleotide long non-coding RNA is filed under the name Triticum aestivum (bread wheat). RNAcentral's name for it is "long non-coding RNA (TAES_LNC020451)". The record is from RNAcentral. Lineage: Eukaryota; Viridiplantae; Streptophyta; Magnoliopsida; Poales; Poaceae.